This 248-nucleotide unclassified non-coding RNA is filed under the name uncultured Xylariales. RNAcentral describes it as "sequence contains 5.8S rRNA gene, ITS2, 28S rRNA gene". The record is from RNAcentral. Lineage: Eukaryota; Fungi; Ascomycota; Sordariomycetes; Xylariales.
AACGCACAUUGCGCCCAUUAGUAUUCUAGUGGGCAUGCCUGUUCGAGCGUCAUUUCAACCCUUAAGCCCCUGUUGCUUAGCGUUGGGAGCCUACUGUUCUGUAGCUCCUCAAAACCAGUGGCGGAGUCGGUUUUGUGCUCUAGACGUAGUAGAAUCUUCUCGUCUGCAGCCGGGCCGGUCCCCUGCCGUAAAACAACCAAUUUUUCAAGGUUGACCUCGAAUCAGGUAGGAAUACCCGCUGAACUUAA